RNAcentral lists this long non-coding RNA (1070 nucleotides) under Marmota monax (woodchuck). Lineage: Eukaryota; Metazoa; Chordata; Mammalia; Rodentia; Sciuridae. The record is from RNAcentral.
GCUGUCAACAGGGGUGGACUGAGUCGUGAACCCUUAAGUAUAACGCCAGAUAUAGUGCCAGUGUAAAGGAUGUGGCAAAGCUGUUAAUAAUUGAUCAAAUGUUACUAGAAACUGGAGCACUCAGAGUGCAUCAAACUCUAAACAUUUAAGUAAUGUGCCCAAGUUUUUAUUCAGAUUUUGAAAUUUCUUCAAUAUCAAAAACUUGAUACCUGAGCCAGGCACGGUGGCACACGCCUGUAAUCCCAGUGACUCAGGAGGCUGAGGUAGGAGGAUCAUGAGUUCAAAGCCAGCCUCAGCAACUUAGCGAGACACUUGGAGCUCAAUGAGACCCUGCCUCUCAAUAAAAUAUAAGAAAGGGCUGGGGAUGGGGUUCAGUGGUUAAGCACCCCUGGUUCAAUCCCCGGUACCAAAAGAAACAAACCUGAUACCUGACGUGAAUGUGGAAAGAGUCAUCCAAAAUACAUGCCUUAAAUAACAACAAAGUAUUUGUAAUGAAGAAAAACCUUGACAAAUGUAAAAAGUUUAGCAAUACCCUUAUCUCUUCCUCAUAUCUUGAUUUAUAUGAGAAUUAUAAAUGGAGCUAAGUCAUAUAAGUAUAGAAAAUGGGACAUUAUCUUUGCAUAAAAUUUAUUUAAAGUUAUUAGCUCAUGUGUAGAAAUUUAAAAAUCAUCCUAUCAUAGCAUGAUGCAGAAAACAUCUCUAAAAGAUAUAAAUUUGUUAUAAGUCAAGAUUACUACAUAUCCACAUUUUUUUAAUGAAAUCCCACAGAUUUCAUUAUAUAUCAGAAGAAAACUUGUUCCUGAGAGAUUUCUCUUUUUUAAGAAAAAUUUUAAGUUGUAGAUGGACAUAACACCUUUAUUUUGUUUAUUUACUUUUAUGUGGUGCUGAGGAUUGAAUCCAGUGUGUCACACAUGCUGGGCAAGUGCUCUACUGCUGAGCUAUAGCCCCACCCAGAGAUUUUAAUCUGUUGUUGUUGUUAUUGUUGUUGUUGAAACUAUGCUAUGGACUUUGAAAUACUUUGUUCACAUUAUAUAUGCUUUUUUUUUUACUAAAUAAAAGUAUUAAUGUGC